This 253-nucleotide ribosomal RNA is filed under the name uncultured bacterium. RNAcentral's name for it is "partial 16S ribosomal RNA". It matches the Rfam family "Bacterial small subunit ribosomal RNA", at positions 524 to 776 of the family's 1533-position model. The record is from RNAcentral.
UACGUAGGGUGCAAGCGUUGUCCGGAAUUAUUGGGCGUAAAGAGCUCGUAGGCGGCUUGUCGCGUCGACUGUGAAAACCCGGGGCUCAACCCCGGGCCUGCAGUCGAUACGGGCAAGCUUGAGUGCGGUAGGGGAGACUGGAAUUCCUGGUGUAGCGGUGAAAUGCGCAGAUAUCAGGAGGAGCACCGGUGGCGAAGGCGGGUCUCUGGGCCGUAACUGACGCUGAGGAGCGAAAGCGUGGGGAGCGAACAGG